Molecule: ribosomal RNA, 152 nt
Filed under: uncultured Pseudomonas sp.
Lineage: Bacteria; Pseudomonadati; Pseudomonadota; Gammaproteobacteria; Pseudomonadales; Pseudomonadaceae
Description: partial 16S ribosomal RNA
Rfam family: Bacterial small subunit ribosomal RNA
Source: RNAcentral
AGCUGAUCAGCCAUGCCGCGUGUGUGAAGAAGGUCUUCGGAUUGUAAAGCACUUUAAGUUGGGAGGAAGGGUUGUAGAUUAAUACUCUGCAAUUUUGACGUUACCGACAGAAUAAGCACCGGCUAACUCUGUGCCAGCAGCCGCGGUAAUAC